GAUGAAGAACGUAGCGAAACGCGAUAUGUAAUGUGAAUCGCAGAAUUCAGUGAAUCAUCGAAUCUUUGAACGCACAUGGCGCCUUCCAGUAUCCUGGGAGGCAUGCCUGUCCGAGCGUCGUUUCAACCCUCGAGCCCCCGUGGCCCGGCGUUGGGGAUCUGCCCAGGCAGUCCCCGAAAACCAGUGGCGGACCCGUUACAGGCCCUUCCCUUGCGUAGUAGCAUUCGCCUCGCAUCGGGAGCCGGCGGGCUUCCAGCCUCUAAACCCCCAUCAAGUCCGCCCCGGCGGCACCAAGGUUGACCUCGGAUCAGGUAGGAAUACCCGCUGAACUUAAGCAUAUCAAUAAGCGGAGGA
RNAcentral lists this unclassified non-coding RNA (354 nucleotides) under soil metagenome. RNAcentral's name for it is "partial contains 5.8S ribosomal RNA, internal transcribed spacer 2, and large subunit ribosomal RNA". The stretch from base 1 to 120 matches the Rfam family "5.8S ribosomal RNA", at positions 35 to 154 of the family's 154-position model. The record is from RNAcentral.